Molecule: ribosomal RNA, 274 nt
Filed under: uncultured bacterium
Lineage: Bacteria
Description: partial 16S ribosomal RNA
Rfam family: Bacterial small subunit ribosomal RNA
Source: RNAcentral
AUACAGAGGGUGCGAGCGUUAAUCGGAAUUACUGGGCGUAAAGCGCGCGUAGGCGGCUUGGUCAGUCGGAUGUGAAAGCCCCGGGCUUAAUCUGGGAACUGCAUUUGAAACUGAUAGACUAGAGUGAGUGAGAGGUUAGUGGAAUUCCAGGUGUAGCGGUGAAAUGCGUAGAGAUCUGGAGGAACAUCAGUGGCGAAGGCGACUAACUGGCACUACACUGACGCUGAGGUACGAAAGCGUGGGGAGCGAACAGGAUUAGAAACCCCAGUAGUCC